AGAGUUUGAUCCUGGCUCAGGAUGAACGCUAGCGACAGGCCUAACACAUGCAAGUCGAGGGGCAUCGGGGUGUAGCAAUACGCUGCCGGCGACCGGCGGAUGGGUGAGUAACGCGUAUGCAACCUGCCUUCAGCAGGGGGAUAGCCCGUUGAAAGACGGAUUAAUACCCCGUGACACAGGGGCUCCGCAUGGAGAUUAUUGUUAAAGGGAUGCUUCCUUCGGGGAGUAUUCCGGCUGAAGAUGGGCAUGCGUUCCAUUAGGUAGUUGGUUGAGGUAACGGCUCACCAAGCCUGCGAUGGAUAGGGGAACUGAGAGGUUGGUCCCCCACACUGGUACUGAGACACGGACCAGACUCCUACGGGAGGCAGCAGUGAGGAAUCUUGGUCAAUGGACGGAAGUCUGAACCAGCCAUGUCGCGUGAAGGAGGACGGCCCUAAGGGUUGUAAACUUCUUUUGCAGGGGAAUAAAGUAUUCCACGAGAUGGGAUAUUGCAAGUACGCUGCGAAUAAGGAUCGGCUAACUCCGUGCCAGCAGCCGCGGUAAUACGGAGGAUCCGAGCGUUAUCCGGAUUUAUUGGGUUUAAAGGGUGCGCAGGCGGGAAGUUAGGUCGGCGGUGAAAUUUCGGGGCUCAACCCCGAGAGUGCCGUUGAAACCGGUUUUCUUGAGUGCGGAUGAGGUAGGCGGAAUUUGUGGUGUAGCGGUGAAAUGCGUAGAUAUCACAAGGAACACCGAUUGCGGAGGCAGCUUACUAAACCGUUACUGACGCUCAUGCACGAAGGCGUGGGGAUCAAACAGGAUUAGAUACCCUGGUAGUCCACGCAGUAAACGAUGAUUACUAGCUGUUUGCGAUACAGUGUAAGCGGCUUAGCGAAAGCGUUAAGUAAUCCACCUGGGGAGUACGUUUGCAAGAAUGAAACUCAAUGAAUUGACGG
RNAcentral lists this ribosomal RNA (932 nucleotides) under uncultured bacterium. RNAcentral's name for it is "bacterial SSU rRNA". It matches the Rfam family "Bacterial small subunit ribosomal RNA", at positions 8 to 916 of the family's 1533-position model. The record is from RNAcentral.